Molecule: transfer RNA, 66 nt
Filed under: Neaxius acanthus
Lineage: Eukaryota; Metazoa; Arthropoda; Malacostraca; Decapoda; Strahlaxiidae
Description: tRNA-Val
Source: RNAcentral
GUUCUUUAGUAUAUAACACAGUACAUUUGACUUACAAUCAAAAAGGUCAUAAUUAAUGGAGGAGCU